This 73-nucleotide ribosomal RNA is filed under the name Pestalotiopsis olivacea. RNAcentral's name for it is "partial 28S ribosomal RNA". The record is from RNAcentral. Lineage: Eukaryota; Fungi; Ascomycota; Sordariomycetes; Amphisphaeriales; Sporocadaceae.
UUUUUAAUGGUUGACCUCGGAUCAGGUAGGAAUACCCGCUGAACUUAAGCAUAUCAAUAGGCCGGGAGGGAAA